RNAcentral lists this ribosomal RNA (460 nucleotides) under uncultured bacterium. RNAcentral describes it as "partial 16S ribosomal RNA". It matches the Rfam family "Bacterial small subunit ribosomal RNA", at positions 338 to 795 of the family's 1533-position model. The record is from RNAcentral.
CCUACGGGAGGCAGCAGUGAGGAAUAUUGGUCAAUGGGCGCGAGCCUGAACCAGCCAAGUAGCGUGAAGGAUGACUGCCCUACGGGUUGUAAACUUCUUUUAUAAAGGAAUGAAGUGAGGCACGUGUGCCUUUUUGUAUGUACUUUAUGAAUAAGGAUCGGCUAACUCCGUGCCAGCAGCCGCGGUAAUACGGAGGAUCCGAGCGUUCUCCGGAUUUAUUGGGUUUAAAGGGAGCGUAGAUGGGUUGUUAAGUCAGUUGUGAAAGUUUGCGGCUCAACCGUAAAAUUGCAAUUGAUACUGGCAGCCUUGAGUACAGUUGAGGUAGGCGGAAUUCGUGGGGUAGCGGUGAAAUGCUGAGAGAUCACGAAGAACUCAGAGUGCGAAGGAAGCUUACUAAACUGCCACUGACAUUGAUGCUCGAAAGUGUGGGUAUCAAACAGGAUUAGAUACCCGGGUAGUC